This 520-nucleotide ribosomal RNA is filed under the name uncultured bacterium. RNAcentral describes it as "bacterial SSU rRNA". It matches the Rfam family "Bacterial small subunit ribosomal RNA", at positions 9 to 531 of the family's 1533-position model. The record is from RNAcentral.
GAGUUUGAUCAUGGCUCAGAUUGAACGCUGGCGGCAUGCCUAACACAUGCAAGUCGAACGGUAACAGGCCGCGUGAUCCCUUCGGGGUGAACAUGGUGCUGACGAGUGGCGAACGGGUGAGUAAUACGUGGGAAUCUGCCCAGUAGUGGGGGACAACCCGGGGAAACUCGGGCUAAUACCGCAUACGCUCUACGGAGGAAAGCGGGGGAUCUUCGGACCUCGCGCUAUUGGAUGAGCCCACGUCGGAUUAGCUUGUUGGUAGGGUAAAGGCCUACCAAGGCGACGAUCCAUAGCUGGUCUGAGAGGAUGAUCAGCCACACUGGGACUGAGACACGGCCCAGACUCCUACGGGAGGCAGCAGUGGGGAAUAUUGGACAAUGGGCGAAAGCCUGAUCCAGCAAUGCCGCGUGAGUGAUGAAGGCCUUAGGGUUGUAAAGCUCUUUUACCCGAGAUGAUAAUGACAGUAUCGGGAGAAUAAGCUCCGGCUAACUCCGUGCCAGCAGCCGCGGUAAUACAAGGG